CGCUCUUUGUAAAACUGUUAAUAUAUAAAGAGUCCUGCCUGCCCAGUGACGUUGUUAAACGGCCGCGGUAUCUUGACCGUGCAAAGGUAGCAUAAUCAUUUGCCCUUUAAAUGGGGGCUGGUAUGAAUGGCAAGACGGAGGCUAAGCUGUCUCUUUCUUAUAUCUUGAAUUUAAUAUUUUUGUGAAGAAGCAGAAAUAUGCCCGCAGGACGAGAAGACCCUAUCGAGCUUAAGCAUAAGAAGCAUUAACAAAUUUGUUAGGUUUUGUUUCUAAUUUGAUUAAGAUUUAAUUGUUAUAAAAUUAAUUACUUUAGCCUAAAAAUGUUAAAUGCAGCUGUUUUGAUUGGGGCAAUCGUGGAGAAAAAAAUCCUCCAUUAUAAAAUAAAAAAAGCUACAGUUUUGUUGAUUAAAUCAAGUGAUCCGCCGUAUGGCGAGCAAAGGAAUAAGUUACCGUAGGGAUAACAGCGUAAUUUUUUUGGAGAGUUCAUAUUGAUAAAAAAGUUUGCGACCUCGAUGUUGGAUCGGGAUUUCCUGGGGAUGCAGCAGUUCCCAAGGGUUGGUCUGUUCGACCAUUAAAAUCCU
RNAcentral lists this ribosomal RNA (581 nucleotides) under cf. Pedicellasteridae sp. CLM-2010-3. RNAcentral describes it as "partial 16S ribosomal RNA". It matches the Rfam family "Bacterial large subunit ribosomal RNA", at positions 1816 to 2597 of the family's 2925-position model. Lineage: Eukaryota; Metazoa; Echinodermata; Asteroidea; Forcipulatida. The record is from RNAcentral.